Small nucleolar RNA from Dioscorea cayenensis subsp. rotundata (Guinea yam), 106 nucleotides. Lineage: Eukaryota; Viridiplantae; Streptophyta; Magnoliopsida; Dioscoreales; Dioscoreaceae. The record is from RefSeq and is a predicted model, not a curated record.
AAUUCAUGCUGUGGGCACUUCCGCAAAAGAUCCAUAAAUCGCUCCCAUGUCUCAGUCAAGGACUCGAGCUCCAUCUGAACAAACAACGAUAUCUCAUUAUGAAGCU